AGUGGAACUUCGGGGAACGGGUUGUUCCGGUCAAAACGGGUUGUUCUGGGUUGUUCUGGAACAACUAGUUAAAAAUUGUUCCUAAGGGAACUAAGAACAACUUUGUUCUUCUUUUUAUUUUAUUAGAUAAAUAGAUAAAUAAAUAAAUAUAUUAAUAUAAAUAGUAUUUUUAUGAUAAUAUAUUUAUACUUAAAUCUUAUUAUAUAAUACAAGUUAAUUAAAUUUAAUAUAUUAUUUAUUUUAUUGAGUUUUAUUAAUUAUAUAUUAAUAUUUAUUUAUUUUUUAUAUUAAAUAUUAUAUAUAUAAAACUAUUUUUUCAUAUUAUAUAAUAAGAUUNAUAUAUAUAUAUAUAUAUAUUUAAGUUGCAUUGAAAUUUAUACUAUUAUUAGUUAAAAUUAUUAGGAUAUUGUUAGUAUUAUACUUUAUUCAUUACAUACAUUAUGAAUAAUUUAUAUAUAAUAAAUUAUUACAUAAAAUAAAUUAUUAUAUAUAAUAAAAUAAAUAUGCUAUUUUAAUUAAACAGUUACAUAAAAUAUUAUAUUAUAAAUUACAAUAUGAAAUAAUUUUAUAAAUAAUUUUAUAUAAAAUACACUAAUAUAAAUUAAUUAUUUUAUUUUAAAAAAUAUAUUUUGACAUUGUUUUAGACUUUUUAUCCAAACGCUACUAAGGAUAUCCUCUAGAAUAUCCCCGAAUGCAUCCAAACAAAAAUUUACAAUUGUUCUAUCUUGUACCGAAAUAUCCCCUGUUCUCGGGAACAACAAAAGUCGUUCUCCAAAAUUUAGUUCUCCAACCAAACACAGCUUGAGGGGUUCUGGAGGUUUGGGCCGGUUAUGUGUACUAGUGACCCAAAAAUUCGGGAAUAGAUAUUGAAAGAAGCCCAUCAGUUCCCUAUACCAUCCACCCUGGCGGCACAAAGAUGUACAAGAAUUUGAAGGCACAUUUCUAGUUUCUGAGUAUAAAAGGUGAUGCUGGGGGCUUGUGGCUCAAUGCCUAGUGGUGAUAACAUGUCAAGGCAGAGUAUCAAUUUUGGUGGGCAAAUUACAAAGUCUACUUAUAUCCGUUU
Molecule: long non-coding RNA, 1063 nt
Filed under: Ananas comosus (pineapple)
Lineage: Eukaryota; Viridiplantae; Streptophyta; Magnoliopsida; Poales; Bromeliaceae
Description: long non-coding RNA (ACOM_LNC030301)
Source: RNAcentral